UGAAAGAAUGAGGGUUUUAGGCUGGGCACAGUGGCUGAUGCCUGUAAUCUCAGCACUUUGGGAGGCCAAGGCAGGAGGAUUACCUGAGAUGUGGAUCACCUGGGGUCAGGAGUUCAUGACCAGCCUGGGCAACAUGGUGAAACCCCGUCUCUACUAAAAAUACAAACUUUAUUUAAAUGAUUUUUAUUUAAAAUGUUGGUAUUCAUAUAUUUUUAUUUUGCCUUCUAAUUUUAAUAGGCAUAAAUAUUUUAAAACAAUAAUUUUCUUGAAGAUAUACAAAGUAAUUAUGAUCUUAAAAUUUACAAUCACUUUAACUUACAUUUUGAUGAAAAUAUGCUCAAAUUUUAAACACAAUUACCUUCAUUUUUAACUUGUUACAUUAUUACUAUCAAUUGAACACAAAUUACAUGAAAAUCUUUAUUGUAACAACAUAGUGGUUUUCCUGAAAUGGAGAAAAUAAAAUAAAUGUUGUGGAAUACAUAAAUAAAAACAUAAAUAAUGUCUUUUAUUAAUCAUAGAAAAUGUCAUUAGCUCCUCUAAACAUGUGCAAUAAUAACUAAAAAUUAGCCAUCUUUUUUUGCAGUCUUUCAUAAUACUUUAUCAACACCAUAGCUUUACAAAUGUUUUUAAUGGACCAGGCACAGUGGCUCACACCUGUAAUCCCAGUGCUUUGGGAGGCUGAGGCAGGAGGAUCAUGAGGUCAGGAGUUCGAGACCAGCCUGGCCAACAUAGUGAAACCCCAUGUCUACUAAAAAUACAAAAAAUUAGCUGGGCGUGGUGUCAGGCGCCCGUAAUUCCAGUGACUCAGGAGGCUGAGGCAGGAGAAUCGCUUGAACUGGGGAGGCGGAGGUUGCAGUGAGCUGAGAUCGCGCCGUUGCACUCCAGCCUGGGCAACGAGUGAAACUCCUGUCUCAAAACAAAACAAAACAAAACAAAUGUUUUUAAUGAUGUUAUGGAUUUGUCAAGAUUGAAGUAUAGAGCACAUUUUGUUUAAAAUGUUUUGGCUUUCGGCCAGGUGCAGUGGCUCACGCCUGUAAAUCCAGCACUUUGGGAGGCUGAGGCAGCCAGAUCACUUGAGGUCAGGAGUUCCAGACCAGCCUGGCCCAGGAGGCGGAGCUUGCAGUGAGCCGAGAUCGUGCCACUGCACUGCGGCCUGGGCGAGAGACUCUGUCUCGGAAAAAAAAAAAAAAGAAAAAGAAAAAGAAAACUACAUCCCCCUCAGGCAGACAUAAUACAAAGGAGGCCCUUUCUUCCCUGCAGAAUCAGCCCUGCACCAGGGAGCCAGACGCAGCAAGAGAAGCCAGGGCUGGAUUUUUAUCCCUAAUGUCCCUCUUGGUUGGGCACCUGGCACAGGGCACAAGCUGCACUCCCAUAUAAGUGGCUCUGGCCUAGGCAAUGGCAUCACACUAGAGUAAGGAAAGUGACCCAACUUGUAAUGGCAGGCAUAUUAGAGCAGAGAUUCCAAAAUUUCAUUUCAUAUAUUCCUAGGUGCCUCUGACCCCCACCCCCAAACCACAGAUCAACCACAGGAGGUCCUUUUCACCUGCUGUGUAAUAGAGGGUUUUUGUUUAUGUUUUUGUUUUAGUGGAAGGGAUUUUACAACUUUUAAAAUAUAUGUAUAUAUGUUUAACCCCUGAUCUACUCCCGCCACACAGCCACAUCAUGGACCCUGGAGGCAAUGGAAUAGGAAGGACAGCAGUGGGGGCUGGGAGGGCAGGGGGAAGGAGACUUUUCAGGGACAUCCAAAGCCACUGACUUUUGUCCCGUACUCCAGUGGGUGUGCUCCUCUCCUUGACCCCACCGGGCACCAUACUUUAUAGUUACUUAGAAUUUUUGAAGACCUUGGCUGGGGGGUCUCUCUGAUAAAUCCAAAUUACUAUGCUUUUGUUAAAACUUUUACAUGCCAAAGCAGGCAAACAACAGAUAUUUUUUAACAUCUACAUUUGAAAACCAUUCUGGGUAUACUUCACUGUAAUAUACAGCCAGCAAAGCAACCAUAACAUUUCCUCAUUUUCCUGAGUAAAUUUAGAAGCAAACAUUUUCAGAAUAUGAAAUUAAAUAAAAGGUCAUAGGACAAUGAAUAAUAUGCUGUGUGUGUGGUUAAUUAUACUUGUUCUAAAAAAAAGUCAUCCUAGCCUCUCUAUAAAAAUUGUGUGUGUAGCUAUUUCACUUUGAAAUGUCAUAGGGUUACUCUGUUUCAAAAAGAAAAUGGAAAAGCAUAAAGAUAUUUAUUUAACCCUGAAAGAAAAUAUUUCUUAAGAGAAUGUAAUGUUUAAUUCCAUAUUGUUUCCCUUUGUCCUGUGGCUGGUUUAUAAAUAUGGAAGGCACAAUUCUUUGUGCUAUUGAAAUUAAGGGUUCACGGUAUUUUUUGUCUUUUCAGGGAAAAGAAUCAAACAAUUUAGAUACAGAAAAGAUAUGAUUCUUUCAACAGCUACUAAAAUCUGACAAGCCAUUUUAAUCAUAAGGUAGAUAGCAUUAUAAUUUAAUCUUUUCCGUGAUGAGAUAAUCUGUACUUUUAACUUCAAACAAGAUGCUUAAUAUUUAAUACUUCAGAUUUCAAAAGUGAAACAUGUCUGAAAUACUUGAAUGAAAGUCACUUGUCUACCUAUUUUUUAUUUCUGCUGUAAUUAAAGCAGGGAACUUAAUUGCAAGUGAACUCAUUCUAAUACUCCAAUAAGACAAAAUAAGCAAGCCAUGUUAUUAAUAGCGAUGACAGAAGUGAUCGCUCUGGGCAGUCUGGCAAAUACUUACCUGUGACUGGGAGGUUCACCUAAAAAAAGCCACACUGAGGUCACUUUUGCUUUUUGGGGUAAUUUCGCCCUACCAUGCUCUGAGAGAUCAGAGAAGGAUUUUUCCUCUAAACUUUUUCUCUUAUUGUCCUAGGAUUUACACUCUUGCUUCUUCCAACUGGUGUAUUAAAAAUUACUAGACACCUACUAAGCGCCAGACACUUUCCUAGCUGUUAGGAAUAGAAAGAGAAAGAAUAUGGUCUGCAGUCCAGGAGCUCAGGCUAGAGCAUUCUAUGCUAUGUGCUAUGCUAGAGGCACGCACAAGGCUCCUGGUCCAGCCCAGCCCUCAGAUUCUGCGUCCAGAGCAGAUAUUCAGUUUCUUCACCUGGAAAAUUUCUCUAGGGUCGACCUAAAUUCUAAAAUGUAUAUGAUUCUAGUUAGCGGCUCACAUUAUUUCAAAUAAGGUGUUUAAUAGCUAAACUGUAUGCAGCUAUAGUUACUUUUUUUGUUUUGUUUUUUGUUUGUUUGUUUUUUGGGACAGGCUCUCACCCUGUUGCCCAGGCUGGAGUGCAGGGGCAUGAUCUCAUCUCACUGCAGCCUCCACCUCCCGGGUUCAAGAGAUUCUCAUACCUCAGCCUCAGGCACGCACAACCACCCCCAGCUAAUUUUUGUAUUUUUAGUAGAGAUGGGUUUUCACCAUGUUGCCCAGGCUGGUCUCAAACUCCUGAGCCCAAACGAACUGCCUGCCUCUGCCUCCCAAAGUGCAGGAUUACAGGUGUG
Molecule: long non-coding RNA, 3509 nt
Filed under: Homo sapiens (human)
Lineage: Eukaryota; Metazoa; Chordata; Mammalia; Primates; Hominidae
Description: non-protein coding lnc-PPP1CB-1:1
Source: RNAcentral